This is an RNA transcript of Daphnia carinata, 2174 nucleotides long. It is a transcript of the gene named meiotic recombination protein SPO11-like, with no coding region annotated. The transcript is spliced from 8 exons. The record is from RefSeq and is a predicted model, not a curated record. Lineage: Eukaryota; Metazoa; Arthropoda; Branchiopoda; Diplostraca; Daphniidae.
GUGCAGCUUGUCGCGACCAGUCAGCGUUAACGUUGUCUCAAACCAGUUUUAAUUGAGUGACAAACAAGCAAAUCGUUUGGCCGUAAUACCAGUUGCAACAAAUAUGACGACUUUACAAGAGAUAAUCGUCAUUCUGAGCGAUUUGAAGCAAAGCUUAAUUGCAUUUCAUGGAGUCAAUCCUGUUUAUCCACCACCCAACAAGAGUGAAACAAUGGCACGAGUUGAAGAAUACAUCAAACUAGUUGUGGCUGCCAUAAGUAGAGGGGACUGGCCUUUGCAGCUACCAAUUCAUGGCAGUGACAAGAUGAUGACGUGGAAAGCCGCCAAUCAACGACGUAAAUGUUUGUUACUCUUCCAUCUGCUCGCCAAAUCACAUGCACUUUUACGCACCAACACCACGUCUACUAAACGUGACAUCUACUAUGAAGACGUUUCGUUAUGGGGUAACCAACCGGUACUGGACAGCACAGUAACCCAGAUGACAAGACUGCUGAAUAUUCCGCGACGCUGUCUCAAUAUCGGUGCCACUUCGAAAGGUUUGGUGGCAGGUUCUCUGAACUUUCUCGAUGGAGAUGGCAAGCUCGUUGAUUGCCAAUCACCAACUGGGAUUCUGAUACCGAAUGACGUUGAAAGACUUUCUCAUUUCCGAAGCAAGGCUUUCCACAUCUUGCUAGUGGAAAAAGACAGCACGUUCCAGAAAUUGAUUGACGAUAAGAUCGAAUCCUUCAUCGGGGAAUGCAUUCUCAUCACGGGAAAAGGUUAUCCGGAUGUCAACACUCGUCGUUUCCUGCGUCGCUUGUGGGACGAGCUGCAACUACCCGCGUUGGCUUUGGUAGAUGCAGAUCCGCACGGAAUUUCCAUCCUCGCUGUCUAUCGAUUUGGAAGUCAAAAUUUGGAAGAUAUUGAACAUUUGUCCACGCCCCAACUGCGAUUUAUCGGUCUCCAGCCAAGCGAUAUUGAGCCUUUACACAUCCCUGACGAAGCUAAAUUGCCACUAACUCAACGCGAUCGAUCGCUCAUCGACUCACUGGCCCAACGCCCUUCGGUAACCGAAAAUCAGCUUCUCCACGAACAGGUUUCUAUUCGGAGUUUGCUUCAAUUGAACUGGCAGUCAACUUUAAUCAGACGGUCUCUUUAGUCGAUCCAGAGUCACAAAAACGUCGAGUUAAAUCGUCUUAUUCCUACAUCGGACCUGUCCUCAUCGGCAUCGGUGUAUUCGUGCUGAUUGGGGUGAUUGUGGCGACGAUGGAGAUGCGCGACAUGACGGCCAAAGUCUUCCCGUUGACCAAACGGACUUACAGGAAAACUAAAUUGACCGCUGAAGCCCUGGGCACGAUGUUCCAGACACCGACGCAGCAGAUCAUGAGAGAGAUGGCGGUCAACUAUAAAAAACCAGAUCGCCAAGCGAGCUUCCGCACGGUUGGAACACAAACAUUUCGACCUCGUUUAUGGCCUUGGUCCAGGCCCAGGCCGCCUCGUCGUUUCAUGUUUCACGGCAAAAUGAUUUGCCGAUCGUGCCAACAGCUUUGCACGCCCAAAAGCCAACAGAAUGCCAGGCUUCCACCGACAUUCGUCCACAAGCGUGGGCGACGAUCGCGUUGUCGCCGGAAAUUGUUACUCAUCCACUCACUGGCAGCCAACUCGUUGGCUGUUUCAUGUCCCCAGCUUGACACUGUUAGCUAAUCAACUCUAUACAUCUACUAAUUGUUGUUGCUCGGCUUGUGCUGCUUUGUUGAUAAUGGCGCAGUAACCAAGCCUGUCCUAAUAUUCUGGGACUGUCAAAUGUCUUUCUUCCCUCGCAGACAAGAAUGCUUUAGGCCAGUUUAAUGUGAGUGCGAUCACCUUUAGAUGCGGAAUGUCAAGGAGACCUGUCUUACAACGAGGCGACAGGGCUAAUAAUACAAUACUGGACGUUACGAGUACAAGAGAACUGGAAUGCUACGUACACACAGAGGCCAAAAGAGUACGGACAACGUACCUCGCGUGCCAGCUCGGCGCCUUCCUUUUUUCUCCGAUAUGCUUUUGUUUUCUUGCGAGAUAAAAAAAAAAAAAAAAAAGAGAGAGAAAAGAAUGUUUCUUCUUUUAGCUCUAGACGGGAAUUUUAUUUUGUACACAGCCAAAUCUGGCUUAAUGUCGGUAUUGUGGUCGAUCAAUAAACUCGGAUUGACGGAUGG